UGGUCCCUGAAAAGAAGUUGCCCAUGUUAUUUUCGCUUGAUAUGUGACGAAACAAACAUGGUGCACUUCUUUUUCGGUAUCA
Molecule: microRNA precursor, 82 nt
Organism: Equus asinus (donkey)
Lineage: Eukaryota; Metazoa; Chordata; Mammalia; Perissodactyla; Equidae
Source: Ensembl